GUGAAAUCAAGGCACCUCUUUCUAACCCUAAUUAGUCCAAAUUUUAUCCUAUUUCUUUCACCAUAUCCAGAUCCGAAUAUCCCUCUUUCUUCAGAUUCUAUCUCGAGGAUUAAAAGGGUUUCAUGAUAAACUGAUGUAUCGAUCUCCAACCUUCGGAUUGCUUGUUGUUUAUUGUUAGCUCUCUCUUGCAUAAAUGCCAUAUAUGUUUCUUACAAAAGCCUUGAAACCGCCAAGGAAUAAUUGAGCUUGGAUGUAGAGUGUAGACUGUAGACUAUGGCAUUGGCAACUCAUCCAAUGAAGGUAAUUGUGAUUUGUCUACAUUUAUAAGAAGCUCAUAUGCUUCACACGGAGUCGGAGAGUAUGUAGUCUGGGAAACUUAUGAGUUAUGGGGCUAUACGGUUUCCAUUGAGCCAGGUUAUAUAUAUUGAUGAGACUCAGUGUACAUGUUACUAUUUCCAACCCCAUGAAAUUGAAUUUUCUAAUGGUAUUCCCAAAACUAAUAGUAGAAGAUUUUAAUUCCAAUUGAACUGUCAUUAUUUCACAGAAUGUCAAAUUGAUCCCUAGGAUCUCAUACUUUCUGAAAAUUUAUAGCAUGCAUCAUUCUGUUUACUAAAGCUGUCAUCAUAUAUCUGUAUUUCUUGAGUCACCAGUUCUCGAGUAUAUUUUAAAUAUUAUUUUAGUGCCAAGGCAAUCUUCCCAGUGAAUUUGUUCGGGGAUCUUGUGGCACUUUUGCCUCCGUGCCUUCAUCGUGGAACAGAGGGAGCAAGUUAAAGCAUUGUGUACCAGCACUCGGUGCUGUUGAGAGAAAAGAUAGGUUUAUAUUGUUGAAAUGCAGGUCAUGUUCAAGGAGCUUCUCUUGCCCGUGGACCAAAGUCAAAACCAUUUAAAGUAUCAGCAUUCAAAGACUACCAGUUUGAGGAUUCUAACAAUGGCAGUGCUAAUAGCUCUAAGUAUCUUAAGGAUGCUGUUGAAGUUUCCUAUUUGAAACAUAAGAGUGAAGAAUCCUCUGUGGAAUCUUCAAAGGCACAAAGUGAUGUUCCUGCUGUUCAAGCAACAACCAGAUCACUGGCUAUUCAGAAUUUAUUCAAGAGUUAGUUGGUGUUACUGCGUGCACCAUCUCAAACCUUAGAAGCAGAUAAAGUUCUUGAAGAAUCUUCAGUGGCAAAAACAUCAGAAAGGCCAAAUACUUCAGUAAAGCAAAAAGGUGAAAUUCUGAAGGCAGUUUGGUAUCGUAUUCUUAGCCUGGAUACGGCAAUCAGGAUACCUUUUUUCCUUUUCACUCCACUAUACGUUGCUGUUAACCUUGUAUAUGGUAUGGAAGUAUCAAAAGAAUUGACUCCCUUGUGGAUUCUUGGACCAAUCGUUGUUACUGUUUAUGUAAAAACGUUCCAAGCAUUAUGCGGGCUCUAUGCAUUCAGCUUCAAACAGACGGCCAAUGUAAUCAAGAAACUGCCUGUGUAUUACUCGCUGGUGCAUGAUCACAUUGUUCAUGGAAAGCUAAAAGAAGCUAUGAGAAUACAUAUAUUCCUACCUCUAGCAGACAUAAAAAACAUGAACUACAGGGAAGUAACUAGCAGGAAAAUGAAGGAUUUGCAAGGGUGGCUGGUUGACAGACAGCUGGAUCUCGUUGAAUUAGUGUGGCCAUGGUAUUGCAGAACAAUUAGGUUUCUAAAGAGGACACAUCUGGUAUAGUAGUGUUGAGUAUUCCCUCCAGAUUCUUUUCCCUGUUCCUGGCCUCAUUUGUUCUUUUCUUUGAGUGAGAUAUUCAGACAUACACAUUUGCUGAAACUCCUUUCUGUACUCGGGUUCUUCUCUCGAGCAUUUUGAGAGAAACUGAAGCGUUUGAGGUAUGUAGGAUUGCUAUAUGCCUAUAUCUGUACUCAUUCAUACCCAUGCGCUUGUCGUUUGUGAUGUGUGGAGACUAGAAUGUCACAAUAUAUGGAUAACUAGGUAUGUUUGCAUAAUGCAUCUAGUUUUGGGAAACUUUUUAGAUAAUUUGUAAAAGAAAUAGUCUUGGCUUGUGUUGUACUAAUGAGGUAACAUUAAGGAAUUGAAUAUUCAUACGAGAUCUUGUGUUACAAA
RNA transcript from Salvia splendens (bonfire salvia), 2082 nucleotides. RefSeq lists it as uncharacterized. The record is from RefSeq and is a predicted model, not a curated record. Lineage: Eukaryota; Viridiplantae; Streptophyta; Magnoliopsida; Lamiales; Lamiaceae. The transcript is spliced from 4 exons.